Papilio polytes (common Mormon) is the source of this 180-nucleotide long non-coding RNA. RefSeq lists it as uncharacterized. The transcript has 2 exons. Lineage: Eukaryota; Metazoa; Arthropoda; Insecta; Lepidoptera; Papilionidae. The record is from RefSeq and is a predicted model, not a curated record.
AAAAAGAAGAAGCAGAAGAGAAAAAAGAAGAAGAAAUAAUAAGUAGGAGCGGGAGGAAAAUACGUCCGAAGAGAUAUAUAGAUGAACACACAGAAGAGAAUACUACUUUACCUUCGCCGGCACCAAAGAAGCGUAGAGGCGCAUCCCCUGCCCUGGAGAAGGAAAAGGAACCAGAAAAAG